This is a non-coding RNA of Pelobates cultripes (western spadefoot toad), 341 nucleotides long. Lineage: Eukaryota; Metazoa; Chordata; Amphibia; Anura; Pelobatidae. The record is from the annotation of a GenBank genome assembly.
AGCGUCACUUGAGGUACCUGUAAAUAGUGAAGUCAUAUCCUUCUUGUGGACAGGUCAUGUAAAAAUACUAUACAUCGUUGCAUACAAAAACUCUUUAUGUUGUGCUUAAUACUUGAAAAUCUUCUUCAUUACAUUUCUAGUAUCUUAAUAUAGUCAUAGGUUUUCUAAGCAUUCAUUGGGCCUUCUCUUCUUGAUCAAUAGCCAUCAUUCUAAUGUGUGUAUGUGUGUGAUUACUGUAAGUUAAACACAAACACAUUGCAAUAAACCACAUAAGGACAUAGGUAAUUGUACAAUUUCUGAACCAAAACUAAAAAAACAAAACCUAGAAUUUGAGCUGUGUG